This is a long non-coding RNA of Oreochromis aureus, 561 nucleotides long. The record is from Ensembl. NCBI's taxonomy places the organism in Eukaryota, Metazoa, Chordata, Actinopteri, Cichliformes, Cichlidae.
GGGAGAGAGGCUGCGCACUACACCCCGCACAGGCCGGCAAUCACAGAGCUCAGAAAGGCAGAAACAGCUUUUACGGCCACAAACGAAGUGGACACUACGUGGCUGGUGACUUGCGCUGACUUCUAUCAGCGGUUCUUCAUCUGCGGUGAGUCAAAUAACAGCAGCUCCAGCACAAGUCUCAUGACGUCCUUGGACUUGAUGAAAAAACAGUGUUUUGCAUCUGGGACGCUGUCCUCAGCUUCUCUCAAAAGAAGGUUCAUAAAGAAGAGCAGGGUCGCUCCGGGGAGGCAGCACGAUGCGGGCAGCGAGUGUCAGCUGUGCAGAUGUUCCAUAUUUUCCCAUUCAGGCAGCAACCAGACUGUUCGCCGGAUUCUGACAGCCUGCCUCCUCUCUUUCAUGGCCCUGCUCGGCUCUGUAUUCAUCGACAUCAACUCCAACUUUGACUUGCUGUACACUACAGAAGCAGCUUACAGCGAGCUGACUUCAUGCAGGACUCUGACUCUCCUGCAACUUGUCAGUAAACUUCAAAAGACGAGACAUUUAUUUUCCAAAAAAGCAGGG